GUAGGUGGCAAGCGUUAUCCGGAUUUAUUGGGCGUAAAGCGAGCGCAGGCGGUCUUUUAAGUCUAAUGUGAAAGCCUUCGGCUCAACCGAAGAAGUGCAUUGGAAACUGGGAGACUUGAGUGCAGAAGAGGACAGUGGAACUCCAUGUGUAGCGGUGAAAUGCGUAGAUAUAUGGAAGAACACCAGUGGCGAAGGCGGCUGUCUGGUCUGUAACUGGCGCUGAGGCUCGAAAGCAUGGGUAGCGAACAGGAUUAGAUACCCUGGUAGUCCAUGCCGUAAACGAUGAUUACUAAGUGGUUGGAGGGUUUCCGCCCUUCAGUGCUGCAGCUAACGCAUUAAGUAAUCCGCCUGGGGAGUACGACCGCAAAGUUG
Molecule: ribosomal RNA, 372 nt
Filed under: uncultured bacterium
Lineage: Bacteria
Description: bacterial SSU rRNA
Rfam family: Bacterial small subunit ribosomal RNA
Source: RNAcentral